UCUCAUGUGCAAAGUGUUCCCUCCCAGUCUUGGGUCGAUAGUUAUGCAUUGGUUUGAUGCCUUUAAGGAGGGGUCAAUUGGGUCCUUUGAGUAGCUGACGAGAGCGUUUGGCUCUAGAUUUGUAAUGUCCCGUCAGUUUAAAAAAAAAAGAAAAAGUGUAAGGUCAUAUUUUUUAUGGUUCCCACGUGCCCCACCUAACCCCACUACCCACCACUCCUUUUUCACUCAUCUUUUCAUUCCUUUGGCCGGCUCACUCCCUCACUUCUCUUUUCUUUCUUUUUCUUCUUUUUCAUUUUCGGAAGAACACUCUCUUCACUCCUUCAAACUCUCCACUGGCACUUCCACACCACCACCAUCACCAUUUCCACCAUCAUUUUUCCGGCAAGAUCACUGGAAAAUUCUUGGGAACCCAUAAACACCUUCACAUCCUUUUUUUUUGAGGUUCUAGCUAAUCUCCUUGGAGCUUGGAGAAUUAGGAUUUUGCAGUUGCGAGAGUAGGCAACAAUCUUUUGAGACAAAUUUUUGGUGGCUAACAGUAGUUAGACUAACUACUGAUGGAGGCUGAAUUUUUGUAAUGGAGAUAUUAGAUGUUGUACAUCUUAGAAUAAGCUUGACUCAUUUUUUUGUAUAUUAUAGUGAUUGUGACUUUAUUCCCAUUGAUGGGACAAGCUGUUGAUAUGUAAUUAUUUAUUCAGACCUCUAUUAUUUUGUGGCCAAUGGUCAUUGUAAUUAAUGCUUAGAGCUCUGACUUACUUUGAGAGUAUAUUCAAUGGAAUUAUUAUGAUAA
This is a long non-coding RNA of Quercus robur (English oak), 787 nucleotides long. RefSeq lists it as uncharacterized. The transcript has 3 exons. The record is from RefSeq and is a predicted model, not a curated record. NCBI's taxonomy places the organism in Eukaryota, Viridiplantae, Streptophyta, Magnoliopsida, Fagales, Fagaceae.